Molecule: ribosomal RNA, 306 nt
Filed under: uncultured fungus
Lineage: Eukaryota; Fungi
Description: eukaryotic LSU rRNA
Rfam family: 5.8S ribosomal RNA (bases 1-52)
Source: RNAcentral
AACGCACCUUGCGCUCCUUGGUAUUCCGAGGAGCAUGCCUGUUUGAGUGUCAUUAAAUUCUCAACCUUAUCAGCUUUUGUUGAUAAUGGCUUGGAUGUGGGGGUUUCUUUGCUGGCUUCUUAACGAGAUCAGCUCCCCUUAAAAUUAUUAGCUGGUUGCGUUGUGCAAACUGUCUAUUGGUGUGAUAAUUAUCUACGCCGUGGACUUUCUGCUAGUAUUUUAGCACCGCUUCUAACUGUCCGUUGACUCGGACAAUAUAUAUGACAAUUUGACCUCAAAUCAGGUAGGACUACCCGCUGAACUUAA